Long non-coding RNA from Sebastes umbrosus (honeycomb rockfish), 381 nucleotides. RefSeq lists it as uncharacterized. Lineage: Eukaryota; Metazoa; Chordata; Actinopteri; Perciformes; Sebastidae. The record is from RefSeq and is a predicted model, not a curated record. The transcript is spliced from 2 exons.
GUGAUGUCCCAGCGAGCUGGCGUGAAGCCGGCUGAAACGCUUUAAAGCCAACAGAGUUAUGAGCUGUGAUUGAAGCUUCAGACGCAGGAAGUGAGGAGCUCGGGAUGAACAGGAAGAGGCGGGGUCUCUGGUGAAGAGGCGGAGUCUCAGAGGUUGUUGUCACACCACUCCCCCAGACAGUCAUAGCACAAUCCGGCCUGACGGAUGUUCGCGCCGCUGGCAUCCUUCAGCCAAUUGGUGAACCUCUGGCGGUCUCUAUUUAGCCUCAGGAACUGACCCAGAACUGCGUCGGCCUGGAAACACACAGAAAAUACAUUAAUUAUACACAGUAAAUACAUUACAAUCACACAGAGAACAUGAAAAAAAACACAGAAAAUACAU